This 302-nucleotide ribosomal RNA is filed under the name uncultured bacterium. RNAcentral describes it as "partial 16S ribosomal RNA". It matches the Rfam family "Bacterial small subunit ribosomal RNA", at positions 508 to 807 of the family's 1533-position model. The record is from RNAcentral.
GCAGCAGCCGCGGUAAUACAGAGGGUGCGAGCGUUAAUCGGAUUUACUGGGCGUAAAGCGUGCGUAGGCGGCUUUUUAAGUCGGAUGUGAAAUCCCUGAGCUUAACUUAGGAAUUGCAUUCGAUACUGGGAAGCUAGAGUAUGGGAGAGGAUGGUAGAAUUCCAGGUGUAGCGGUGAAAUGCGUAGAGAUCUGGAGGAAUACCGAUGGCGAAGGCAGCCAUCUGGCCUAACACUGACGCUGAGGUACGAAAGCAUGGGGAGCAAACAGGAUUAGAUACCCCUGUAGUCCCUGUCUCUUAUAC